AGAGUUUGAUCCUGGCUCAGAGCGAACGCUGGCGGCAGGCCUAAAACAUGCAAGUCGAACGGACCCUUCGGGGUUAGUGGCGGACGGGUGAGUAACACGUGGGAACGUGCCUUUUGGUUCAGAACAACUCAGGGAAACUUGAGCUAAUACUGAAUAAGCCCUACGGGGGAAAGAUUUAUCGCCAUUAGAGCGGCCCGCGUUGGAUUAGCUAGUUGGUGAGGUAAAGGCUCACCAAGGCUACGAUCCAUAGCUGGUCUGAGAGGAUGAUCAGCCACACUGGGACUGAGACACGGCCCAGACUCCUACGGGAGGCAGCAGUUAGGAAUCUUGCGCAAUGGGCGAAAGCCUGACGCAGCCAUGCCGCGUGAAUGAUGAAGGUCUUAGGAUUGUAAA
This 393-nucleotide ribosomal RNA is filed under the name uncultured bacterium. RNAcentral's name for it is "bacterial SSU rRNA". It matches the Rfam family "Bacterial small subunit ribosomal RNA", at positions 8 to 429 of the family's 1533-position model. The record is from RNAcentral.